GAUGAACGCUGGCGGCGUGCCUAAUACAUGCAAGUCGAGCGAACGGACGAGAAGCUUGCUUCUCUGAUGUUAGCGGCGGACGGGUGAGUAACACGUGGAUAACCUACCUAUAAGACUGGGAUAACUUCGGGAAACCGGAGCUAAUACCGGAUAAUAUUUUGAACCGCAUGGUUCAAAAGUGAAAGACGGUCUUGCUGUCACUUAUAGAUGGAUCCGCGCUGCAUUAGCUAGUUGGUAAGGUAACGGCUUACCAAGGCAACGAUGCAUAGCCGACCUGAGAGGGUGAUCGGCCACACUGGAACUGAGACACGGUCCAGACUCCUACGGGAGGCAGCAGUAGGGAAUCUUCCGCAAUGGGCGAAAGCCUGACGGAGCAACGCCGCGUGAGUGAUGAAGGUCUUCGGAUCGUAAAACUCUGUUAUUAGGGAAGAACAUAUGUGUAAGUAACUGUGCACAUCUUGACGGUACCUAAUCAGAAAGCCACGGCUAACUACGUGCCAGCAGCCGCGGUAAUACGUAGGUGGCAAGCGUUAUCCGGAAUUAUUGGGCGUAAAGCGCGCGUAGGCGGUUUUUUAAGUCUGAUGUGAAAGCCCACGGCUCAACCGUGGAGGGUCAUUGGAAACUGGAAAACUUGAGUGCAGAAGAGGAAAGUGGAAUUCCAUGUGUAGCGGUGAAAUGCGCAGAGAUAUGGAGGAACACCAGUGGCGAAGGCGACUUUCUGGUCUGUAACUGACGCUGAUGUGCGAAAGCGUGGGGAUCAAACAGGAUUAGAUACCCUGGUAGUCCACGCCGUAAACGAUGAGUGCUAAGUGUUAGGGGGUUUCCGCCCCUUAGUGCUGCAGCUAACGCAUUAAGCACUCCGCCUGGGGAGUACGACCGCAAGGUUGAAACUCAAAGGAAUUGACGGGGACCCGCACAAGCGGUGGAGCAUGUGGUUUAAUUCGAAGCAACGCGAAGAACCUUACCAAAUCUUGACAUCCUUUGACAACUCUAGAGAUAGAGCUUUCCCCUUCGGGGGACAAAGUGACAGGCGGUGCAUGGUUGUCGUCAGCUCGUGUCGUGAGAUGUUGGGUUAAGUCCCGCAACGAGCGCAACCCUUAAGCUUAGUUGCCAUCAUUAAGUUGGGCACUCUAAGUUGACUGCCGGUGACAAACCGGAGGAAGGUGGGGAUGACGUCAAAUCAUCAUGCCCCUUAUGAUUUGGGCUACACACGUGCUACAAUGGACAAUACAAAGGGCAGCGAAACCGCGAGGUCAAGCAAAUCCCAUAAAGUUGUUCUCAGUUCGGAUUGUAGUCUGCAACUCGACUACAUGAAGCUGGAAUCGCUAGUAAUCGUAGAUCAGCAUGCUACGGUGAAUACGUUCACGGGUCU
This 1372-nucleotide ribosomal RNA is filed under the name uncultured bacterium. RNAcentral's name for it is "bacterial SSU rRNA". It matches the Rfam family "Bacterial small subunit ribosomal RNA", at positions 28 to 1381 of the family's 1533-position model. The record is from RNAcentral.